This 664-nucleotide long non-coding RNA is filed under the name Nicotiana benthamiana. RNAcentral describes it as "long non-coding RNA (NBEN_LNC041527)". Lineage: Eukaryota; Viridiplantae; Streptophyta; Magnoliopsida; Solanales; Solanaceae. The record is from RNAcentral.
GAAAGAGGCACUAAAUUCCCAGACUUUAGUUAUUUGAUAAUGUAAAAACAUUGAGUUGUGCUGCUAGGACUUCUUUUCCUUGCUUCAUUGGUUUUAAGUUUUCCUUUUUCCUUUUGGGAUUUAUGUGUUUGGCUGAUAGAGGUGGGAGGAAACGGGGCAGAAGGACAUUAUCCUAUUUCUCCUGAAAACAGCAGUGCUGGUAAGUGUUUAGGUGCACAGAGGAAGUCUGACUUACAAUAAUGAUGGGCCAAGAAGUAAAUGAAAGCCAAUUCUAUUUGCCGUUGCUCAAGACUAGGAAAGUAAUUGAAAAGAGAUGAAGGGAAAAAACAAGCAAAAAGAUCAGCAUGGUAAACAAAUUAAAUGAACUUUGGCACUGCAGACUAUAAAACUCCAGCGGAAGAGGCUACAUUAUGACACGUUUGGUAUGCAUGAGAAGAAUAUUUUUUGUUUCAACUUUCUUGCAUUAAAUAGUAAUCAUUCCAGCGGUCCAUUAACCCCCAUGCACUGGAAAACUUAAACACCGAGAACUACCAGAAACCUUAGGUUGACCACCAAGUAUGUUACCAUCACGUUUCACAGAUCUUUCUUAGAUAAUACAGCCAUCAAAUGAAGUUUGUCAAAAAAGAAAGAGAUCAGUACUUUUCUUGAUGUGAGCGACUUAAGU